CCAACAGGGUCCUUCCACAACCACAUACUUAUGCCAGUAAAAGCCACAGCUUUUCUCCUCCAAUCCAAGAAGCCUGGACUGCAGUCACCAUCUCAACACACCAACCAAGAGAAAGGCGGAUGGCUCAAUUCAAUAUGGAAAAUUGCACAAUAAAAGUUCCAGGACAUGAAGGCUGCAUACUGUGAACGUCAACCUUCAGGGCACCGUCCUGCGCAGAAGACUUUCUACCCUAAGAGGGAUGGCUGACCGCAGACACUCACAACCAGCACAGACGCCUCCAACCUCAAACUAGGCCCUUCACAGUUGCUGCACUUACCCACCUUCCCAGAGUUUUUGUGUGGUAAUGACAACUGUAAAUAUAGUAUAAAGUAAUGUAUCUAGUGUCAUGUGUAAUACAUUGUUUAAAUUGUCCAUACAUUUCAAUGACAGUAAAUAUUGGUGGACACAAUUUGACUGUGUGGCUUUUUUUAAUUCAUUCUCUGACUGAAAAUGCAUGGUUACAUAAUUUAUAUAUUCCACAAGACCACAAUCAGAAGAACAUUUGACAGGUUGCAUUUAUUUUCUAUGUAUGAAAAAAACAAUGGUAACAAGACAAACGU
Molecule: long non-coding RNA, 599 nt
Organism: Engraulis encrasicolus (European anchovy)
Lineage: Eukaryota; Metazoa; Chordata; Actinopteri; Clupeiformes; Engraulidae
Exons: 3
Source: RefSeq, a predicted model, not a curated record